ACCUGGGUGGCUCAGUCAGUUAAGCAUCUGACUUCAGCUCAGGUCAUGAUCUCACAGCUCGUGGGUUCAAGCCCCACAUCGGGCU
This 85-nucleotide transfer RNA is filed under the name Felis catus (domestic cat). It matches the Rfam family "tRNA". From Rfam's summary of the family: Transfer RNA (tRNA) molecules are approximately 80 nucleotides in length. Their secondary structure includes four short double-helical elements and three loops (D, anti-codon, and T loops). Lineage: Eukaryota; Metazoa; Chordata; Mammalia; Carnivora; Felidae. The record is from Rfam by way of RNAcentral.